GAUGACGAUAUUGAAACACUUGAAGGAUGAUAGUUGGGAAAUGAUGGUUUCACAUGGAAAAAGAUUCUUUAUGGCCAGACCUGGUUAUACUUUGGUGUUGAUGUUCAGCAACGGCUCAUAAGGGGAGACUUGUCUUGAUCAAGCAACGAGGAA
Ostrea edulis (European flat oyster) is the source of this 153-nucleotide long non-coding RNA. RefSeq lists it as uncharacterized. NCBI's taxonomy places the organism in Eukaryota, Metazoa, Mollusca, Bivalvia, Ostreida, Ostreidae. The record is from RefSeq and is a predicted model, not a curated record. The transcript has 2 exons.